GAUGAACGCUGGCGGCGUGCUUAACACAUGCAAGUCGAACGGAAAGGCUCCUGCUUGCAGGGGUACUCGAGUGGCGAACGGGUGAGUAACACGUGGGUGAUCUGCCCUGCACUUCGGGAUAAGCCUGGGAAACUGGGUCUAAUACCGGAUAGGACGAUGGUUUGGAUGCCAUUGUGGAAAGUUUUUCGGUGUGGGAUGAGCUCGCGGCCUAUCAGCUUGUUGGUGGGGUAAUGGCCUACCAAGGCGUCGACGGGUAGCCGGCCUGAGAGGGUGUACGGCCACAUUGGGACUGAGAUACGGCCCAGACUCCUACGGGAGGCAGCAGUGGGGAAUAUUGCACAAUGGGCGCAAGCCUGAUGCAGCGACGCCGCGUGGGGGAUGACGGCCUUCGGGUUGUAAACUCCGUUCGCUAGGGACGAAGCGUUUUGUGACGGUACCUGGAGAAGAAGCUCCGGCUAACUACGUG
RNAcentral lists this ribosomal RNA (466 nucleotides) under uncultured bacterium. RNAcentral's name for it is "partial 16S ribosomal RNA". It matches the Rfam family "Bacterial small subunit ribosomal RNA", at positions 28 to 507 of the family's 1533-position model. The record is from RNAcentral.